Long non-coding RNA from Mobula hypostoma (lesser devil ray), 484 nucleotides. RefSeq lists it as uncharacterized. The record is from RefSeq and is a predicted model, not a curated record. The transcript has 3 exons. NCBI's taxonomy places the organism in Eukaryota, Metazoa, Chordata, Chondrichthyes, Myliobatiformes, Myliobatidae.
UUUUAAUCUCUAUUCUCCAGCAGUGCCAUUAUCUUCACUCAGUCAGGAAAGGAACCCAACUUGUCAUAACCGCAGACACUGACACGGAGUAAUGAUGCUUUCGCAGGCGGGCAGCUGAAAGAAGAUGGCAAUCGCACACAUCUCAGGAUCUUCUCCAUCAACUUACCAACCACUGAAGUAAGACUCACUGUCCUGGAUGGUGAGAAUCCCCAGUGAUGGACGCCAUUUUCUUGAGACACCACCGCUUGACGAAAUCCUCGAUGGUGGGGAGGAUGCUGGCCGUGCUGGAGAUGGCUGAUUCUGCGAAGCUCUGCAGCUUUCCCUGAUCCUGUGCAUUGGAGCCUCCAUAGCAGGCAUUUAUCAGAAAGUAAAGAAAUACAAUAAAAUUUCUGAAAACCAUAUGUAAACCAAGACUGACAAACAACCAGUGUGCAAAAGAAGACAGACUGUGAAGAUAAAUAAAUAAACAAAAUUACAAUUUAUU